GACGAACGCUGGCGGCACGCUUAAAACAUGCAAGUCGAACGUGAAGCCCGGGCUUGCCCGGGUGGAAAGUGGCGAACGGGUGCGUAACACGUGAGCAACCUGCCCCGAAGACCGGGAUAA
This 120-nucleotide ribosomal RNA is filed under the name uncultured bacterium. Its description in RNAcentral is "partial 16S ribosomal RNA". It matches the Rfam family "Bacterial small subunit ribosomal RNA", at positions 28 to 146 of the family's 1533-position model. The record is from RNAcentral.